GACGAACGCUGGCGGCGUGCUUAACACAUGCAAGUCGAACGGAAAGGCCCCUUUGGGGGUACUCGAGUGGCGACCGGGUGAGUAACACGUGAGUAACCUGCCCUUGACUUCGGGAUAACUUCAGGAAACUGGGGCUAAUACCGGAUAGGAAUCCUUGCUGCAUGGUGGGGGUUGGAAAGCUUCGGCGGUUUUGGAUGGACUCGCGGCUUAUCAGCUUGUUGGUGGGGUAGUGGCUUACCAAGGCUUUGACGGGUAGCCGGCCUGAGAGGGCGACCGGCCACAUUGGGACUGAGAUACGGCCCAGACUCCUACGGGAGGCAGCAGUGGGGAAUAUUGCACAAUGGGCGGAAGCCUGAUGCAGCAACGCCGCGUGCGGGAUGACGUCCUUCGGGUUGUAAACCGCUUUCAGCAGGGGCGAAGCUUGUGGUGACGGUACCUGCAGAAGAAGCACCGGCUAACUACGUG
Molecule: ribosomal RNA, 465 nt
Filed under: uncultured bacterium
Lineage: Bacteria
Description: partial 16S ribosomal RNA
Rfam family: Bacterial small subunit ribosomal RNA
Source: RNAcentral